AUAAUGACUCUCGGCAACGGAUAUCUCGGCUCUCGCAUCGAUGAAGAACGCAGCGAAAUGCGAUACCUGGUGUGAAUUGCAGAAUCCCGUGAAUCAUCGAGUCUUUGAACGCAAGUUGCGCCCGAGGCCUUCGGCCGAGGGCACGCCUGCCUGGGCGUCACG
Molecule: ribosomal RNA, 162 nt
Filed under: Amyema cambagei
Lineage: Eukaryota; Viridiplantae; Streptophyta; Magnoliopsida; Santalales; Loranthaceae
Description: 5.8S ribosomal RNA
Rfam family: 5.8S ribosomal RNA
About the family: 5.8S ribosomal RNA (5.8S rRNA) is a component of the large subunit of the eukaryotic ribosome. It is transcribed by RNA polymerase I as part of the 45S precursor that also contains 18S and 28S rRNA. Functionally, it is thought that 5.8S rRNA may be involved in ribosome translocation.
Source: RNAcentral